UACGAAGGGGGCUAGCGUUGCUCGGAAUCACUGGGCGUAAAGCGCACGUAGGCGGAUUGCUAAGUCAGGGGUGAAAUCCUGGAGCUCAACUCCAGAACUGCCUUUGAUACUGGCGACCUUGAGUCCGGGAGAGGUGAGUGGAACUGCGAGUGUAGAGGUGAAAUUCGUAGAUAUUCGCAAGAACACCCGUGGCGAAGGCGGCUCACUGGGCCGGUCCUGACGCUGAGACGCGAAGGCGUGGGGAGCGAACGGG
This 253-nucleotide ribosomal RNA is filed under the name uncultured bacterium. RNAcentral's name for it is "partial 16S ribosomal RNA". It matches the Rfam family "Bacterial small subunit ribosomal RNA", at positions 524 to 776 of the family's 1533-position model. The record is from RNAcentral.